RNAcentral lists this ribosomal RNA (440 nucleotides) under uncultured bacterium. Its description in RNAcentral is "partial 16S ribosomal RNA". It matches the Rfam family "Bacterial small subunit ribosomal RNA", at positions 338 to 795 of the family's 1533-position model. The record is from RNAcentral.
CCUACGGGAGGCAGCAGUGGGGGAUAUUGCACAAUGGGGGAAACCCUGAUGCAGCGACGCCGCGUGUGGGAAGACGGUCUUCUGGAUUGUAAACCACUGUCCCCAGGGACGAAAAUGACGGUACCUGGGGAGGAAGCUCCGGCUAACUACGUGCCAGCAGCCGAGGUAAUACGUAGGGAGCAAGCGUUGUCCGGAAUUACUGGGUGUAAAGGGAGCGUAGGCGGGGAUGCAAGUUGGGUGUCAAAACUACCGGCUCAACCGAUAGUCGCACUCAAAACUGCAACUCUUGAGUGAAGUAGAGGCAGGCGGAAUUCCGAGUGUAGCGGUGAAAUGCGUAGAUAUUAGGAGGAACACCAGUGGCGAAGGCGGCCUGCUGGGCUUUUACUGACGCUGAGGCUCGAAAGUGUGGGGAGCAAACAGGAUUAGAUACCCGGGUAGUC